AAUACGUAAGACAUGGCUGUAUGGGCAUAGUUCCCUUUGCCUUACCCUUUGGGGAAAACCAAAACAAAUAACAAUAACUUCAACCCAAAUUCUGUCGCAUCUAUAAUAAAAUACAAUAAUUAACUUAAUUUUAUUGAAUAAAAAGCCCAAAACUGAUAAAUUCCUCACAAAGUAAACGGUCAAGAGAUGUUGAGACAAUCUAAACUUGUAACAUAAAGAGGAAUUUAUUUAUAUAUCCACUACUAUUACUUUGAGAUUAUUUUGUUGAAUACGAAAUGAGUUGAGAGCAUUUAGUUCUGACGAUCAAGAAGGAAUAUCACACAGGAUUCAUCAUCGUGCAAAUGUUGAGGUUAUGCUGCUCUACAUCAUACGUACUAAAGAAAUAAAUAAAAAGAAUUAACGAAAAUAACAUAAGUGUGAGAGUAGAAUCUGUGACGCCAACUAAAGUAAUACAUGAACAGUGUCUUCAGCUAUAAUUAAUAAAUAAUGUACUAGUGGAAA
Long non-coding RNA from Pectinophora gossypiella (pink bollworm), 501 nucleotides. RefSeq lists it as uncharacterized. The record is from RefSeq and is a predicted model, not a curated record. Lineage: Eukaryota; Metazoa; Arthropoda; Insecta; Lepidoptera; Gelechiidae. The transcript has 2 exons.